RNAcentral lists this ribosomal RNA (332 nucleotides) under uncultured bacterium. RNAcentral describes it as "bacterial SSU rRNA". It matches the Rfam family "Bacterial small subunit ribosomal RNA", at positions 568 to 898 of the family's 1533-position model. The record is from RNAcentral.
CACGCAGGCGGUGUGGCGCGUUUCGCGUGACAGCGGGUGGCUUAACUGCCCGAGGAUGCGAAAGACGGCCGCACUCGAGGGCCAGAGAGGGACACGGAAUUCCGGGUGGAGUGGUGAAAUGCGUAGAGAUCCGGAGGAACACCGAAGGCGAAGGCAGUGUCCUGGCUGGUGACUGACGCUGAGGUGCGAAAGCCAGGGGAGCGAACGGGAUUAGAUACCCCGGUAGUCCUGGCCGUAAACGAUGACCACCAGGUGUGGGAGGGCUCGACCCCUUCCGUGCCGGAGUGAACACAUUAAGUGGUCCGCCUGGGGAGUACGGUCGCAAGAUUAAA